UACGUAGGGUCCGAGCGUUGUCCGGAAUUACUGGGCGUAAAGAGCUCGUAGGUGGUUUGUCGCGUUGUUCGUGAAAACUCACAGCUCAACUGUGGGCGUGCGGGCGAUACGGGCAGACUGGAGUACUGCAGGGGAGACUGGAAUUCCUGGUGUAGCGGUGGAAUGCGCAGAUAUCAGGAGGAACACCGGUGGCGAAGGCGGGUCACUGGCCCGGUACUGACGCUGAGGUGCGAAAGCGUGGGGAGCAAACAGG
RNAcentral lists this ribosomal RNA (253 nucleotides) under uncultured bacterium. RNAcentral's name for it is "partial 16S ribosomal RNA". It matches the Rfam family "Bacterial small subunit ribosomal RNA", at positions 524 to 776 of the family's 1533-position model. The record is from RNAcentral.